Molecule: transfer-messenger RNA, 459 nt
Filed under: bacterium
Lineage: Bacteria
Rfam family: transfer-messenger RNA
About the family: Bacterial tmRNA, also known as 10Sa RNA or SsrA, is named for its dual tRNA and mRNA-like properties. Its role is to liberate the mRNA from a stalled ribosome.
Source: RNAcentral
GGGGCUAAUCUUGGUUUCUACCUAGAGAAUCGCUCGGGUUAUAUGCUAUCAGGGAGAUGUUUAGGACUUCCUUAAUCAAUCUAAACAAUAAUAAGUCAAAAUACUUAUAACAGAGCAAAAGCUAGCCUAGCUAACUUUGCAGCUGGAUUUAAAACUCCAGCAUUCGCUACUGCCUAAAUUGGUGAUAGUGAUGUAGUCUUCGCAUGUCGAUGAGUGCCGAUUGGCCUACUACACAGUUUAUUGAAAUCCCCACUCUUGGAGAGAUAUAAACUUAUUAAAUAAGAGUUUUUUAUAAAACGGGUUUGAUUUAGUCUUGUUUUUUAAAAAUAUUAAUAGAUUAAAUUAUUAAGUGAGCUUUUUGUUUAUUUUAUAUUCACUUAAUUAUUAAAAUAAAAUAUGAUAGUAGAAAUGUUUCUCUAGCCUUUAGGGACGUCGGUUCAAAUCCGUCUAGCUCCACCA